UGUGCCGGAAUUUUAAUAAGCCCUCCCGUAACGCUGUCGAUGUUUUGUAAAAAAUACCUCAUUUCCUUCACUGAGCAUUAUUUACAAAAUGAAAUAAAUGAAAGUGACAACAAUGAACUGCUCAGCUUGAAAACAAUUUUUAUGUUUGUUGUGUACGACGUACGUUCUGCUCCAUUACAGUCACUUGAACAGAACAUCCGGUACAUGAACCAUUAGAUGUACAAUAAUAAUUAAUUACUCUUUGGCAAGCACGGGCAUCCGUCCGACCACGUUAGUGACGGUCCAUCGGUAGAACGGUCAAUCAUUAAAUCCACAUAUACCUAU
Long non-coding RNA from Hyposmocoma kahamanoa, 324 nucleotides. RefSeq lists it as uncharacterized. The transcript is spliced from 3 exons. The record is from RefSeq and is a predicted model, not a curated record. NCBI's taxonomy places the organism in Eukaryota, Metazoa, Arthropoda, Insecta, Lepidoptera, Cosmopterigidae.